AGUGAACGCUGGCGGCAGGCCUAACACAUGCAAGUCGAGCGGCAGCGCGUCCGACCACCCUCGGGUGGUCGGAUGGCGGCGAGCGGCGGACGGGUGAGGAAUGCAUCGGAAUCUGCCUCGUUGUGGGGGGAUAACGUAGGGAAACUUACGCUAAUACCGCAUACGACCUACGGGUGAAAGUGGGGGGACCUUCGGGCCUCACGCGAUGAGAUGAGCCGAUGCCGGAUUAGCUAGUUGCGGGGUAAAGGCCCACCAAGGCGACGAUCCGUAGCUGGUCUGAGAGGAUGAUCAGCCACACUGGAACUGAGACACGGUCCAGACUCCUACGGGAGGCAGCAGUGGGGAAUAUUGGACAAUGGGGGCGAACCCUGAUCCAGCCAUG
RNAcentral lists this ribosomal RNA (382 nucleotides) under uncultured bacterium. RNAcentral's name for it is "bacterial SSU rRNA". It matches the Rfam family "Bacterial small subunit ribosomal RNA", at positions 30 to 396 of the family's 1533-position model. The record is from RNAcentral.